Molecule: ribosomal RNA, 497 nt
Filed under: uncultured bacterium
Lineage: Bacteria
Description: partial 16S ribosomal RNA
Rfam family: Bacterial small subunit ribosomal RNA
Source: RNAcentral
GAUGAACGCUGGCGGCGUGCCUAAUACAUGCAAGUCGAGCGAACAGACGAGGAGCUUGCUCCUCUGACGUUAGCGGCGGACGGGUGAGUAACACGUGGAUAACCUACCUAUAAGACUGGGAUAACUUCGGGAAACCGGAGCUACUACCAGAUAAUAUAUUCAACCGCAUGGUUCAAUAGUGAAAGACGGUUUUGCUGUCACUUAUAGAUGGAUCCGCGCCGCAUUAGCUAGUUGGUAAGGUAACGGCUUACCAAGGCAACGAUGCGUAGCCGACCUGAGAGGGUGAUCGGCCACACUGGAACUGAGACACGGUCCAGACUCCUACGGGAGGCAGCAGUAGGGAAUCUUCCGCAAUGGGCGAAAGCCUGACGGAGCAACGCCGCGUGAGUGAUGAAGGUCUUCGGAUCGUAAAACUCUGUUAUUAGGGAAGAACAAAUGUGUAAGUAACUAUGCACGUCUUGACGGUACCUAAUCAGAAAGCCACGGCUAACUACGUG